CGGAACGUGUCCUGUAGUGGGGGAUAGCCCGGCGAAAGCCGGAUUAAUACCGCAUACGCUCUACGGAGGAAAGGGGGGGAUCUUAGGACCUCUCGCUACAGGGGCGGCCGAUGGCAGAUUAGCUAGUUGGUGGGGUAAAGGCCUACCAAGGCGACGAUCUGUAGCUGGUCUGAGAGGACGACCAGCCACACUGGGACUGAGACACGGCCCAGACUCCUACGGGAGGCAGCAGUGGGGAAUUUUGGACAAUGGGCGCAAGCCUGAUCCAGCAAUGCCGCGUGUGUGAAGAAGGCCUUCGGGUUGUAAAGCACUUUUGUCCGGAAAGAAAUCCUUUGGGCUAAUACCCUGAGGGGAUGACGGUACCGGAAGAAUAAGCACCGGCUAACUACGUGCCAGCAGCCGCGGUAAUACGUAGGGUGCAAGCGUUAAUCGGAAUUACUGGGCGUAAAGCGUGCGCAGGCGGUCCGCUAAGACAGAUGUGAAAUCCCCGGGCUUAACCUGGGAACUGCAUUUGUGACUGGCGGGCUAGAGUAUGGCAGAGGGGGGUAGAAUUCCACGUGUAGCAGUGAAAUGCGUAGAGAUGUGGAGGAAUACCGAUGGCGAAGGCAGCCCCCUGGGCCAAUACUGACGCUCA
RNAcentral lists this ribosomal RNA (634 nucleotides) under Paraburkholderia sp. RNAcentral describes it as "bacterial SSU rRNA". It matches the Rfam family "Bacterial small subunit ribosomal RNA", at positions 119 to 749 of the family's 1533-position model. The record is from RNAcentral. Lineage: Bacteria; Pseudomonadati; Pseudomonadota; Betaproteobacteria; Burkholderiales; Burkholderiaceae.